AUGUACAUAGGUUACCUGAAAGGGGCACGCAAACAGCACAAAUAAAUAAAUAAGUCGAGACACAAAGAUUUUACGUCCUCACGUAUAAUCUCUCUACUGAUGUGCGCAUGCGUGACAAACAAUUGGCGGUUAGGUAAAUAACGGAGGCCCGUCACCUAUAUUAGAUACAUGUUAGUUAUAGGACUCUAUUGGAUUCAGGGAUGAAAUGAAAAUUAUGGGGUUUAUAGGAGAUGAAUAUGAAUAUAAUGAUAAAUGAAAGUGGAAUAUCAUGAUAUAUACCUUGAUGAAACAUAAAUAACAGAAAAGACAAAUGACCCCGUGACACGUAAAUAGUAAAAAUGAACAUUGCACAGUGUUCAGCAUUGAUCCUGUUAAUUUUUUCGGGACACGAACCACAGUAUCCUCAAGAAAACAGCGGAACUAGCAUCGAUCUAUUGACUUUUAAAUAGUAUCCAGAUACUUUAGACGCACCCGAUUUGAAUUUAUUUCCAACGUGCGAGAUAAGCUGGUGUACGUGAUUACCAGAGAGAAACUUUUUUGUCUAGCAGUCUGUAUGUUGAUUCUUGUAUAGACAUUCAUGUCAUAGUUUACUACCGUAUUAAGUAUACAAGAAGGCUUAAAUCCAAACCAGUAUCACUGCGGAAUUGUAUAAAACUUUAUUCGAUAAUACUUGCUGGAGAUGUGGCAACAAAUCCAGGUCCUACUAAAUACCCAUGUGGGUACUGUGCAAGGCCGGUCGCGAAGAAUCACAGUGCAGUGUAUUGUGAGGGAUGUUAUUAUUGGUGUAAUAUUAAGUGUGCAGGCAUUUCCCCAAAUGAAUACCAAGAACUGGCAAAAUCAACAGAUCCGUGGAUAUGCAAUACUUGUAACUCUUCAUUUUACAGAUUCCUUUUUUUUAGCUGCAAUGAAAGCUUUCAGUCUGUUACAUCUCAUGUAUCGAUACCUGAAUAUGAGUUAGAUGUUUUUGACACAAUAAGUGAUAUACGUAAAUCUCAACCAAACAAAUUUCUGUGUGCUUCUCUGAACAUUAAUAAUUUGCGAUACAAAUUCUGUCAUAUCAAAUCUUGCAGAAAAAUACAGUUGAUCUACUUUUUCUAGGUGAAAGUAAGCUAGAUGAAAGUUUUGUAGACUCACAAUUCUUCGUAGACAAUUAUCAUUUUUGGAGAAAUGACAGGAAUGCUCAUUGGGGAGGAAUAGCUGCCAACCUACGGUCGGAUCUGGCUGGCGACAGGAACCCCAAAUUAGAGUUUAAGUUUGAUAUACUGUAGUGGAUGGAUUGUCAGGGGAGGUAACUAGAGUCGCUGAUUGGGACUAGGGCGUAACUUGGCAACAACAAAAAAAGGGAAAAUUUUAGUGUGAUGUAAAAGUAAAGCAGAAUGCCUAGAGACCAGUAACUUCAGAAUUGAAGAGAUGCAGGCCUUUGUUCUAAAUGGUGAAUGAGUGAAUUAUAGGGUUGUCUUGGAUUUAUCAGUGAAACCUGUGAUGUUUUAGUGAAGCAGAAUAGUUACAGAUCAUAAGAUAUGCAGGUCUUUGUUCAGCAUGGUGUAUAUGGAAAACACAGUGGAUGGCCAGCAUAGAAAACAUUUAAUGAGUGUGCUUCAAUACAGUUACAGACUGGUUUGGUUAUUCAGGGCGCCACGACUUGUUUUGGGACUGCCAAAAAACUGUUUAUUGCCACCAAAAGCAAAGUCUGUUCACAAUUCUAUUUACACCCUAUAUUGUUUGUAAUUUUCCGUAAUUCCUUCAAAAAAGCUGACAAUCAGCGUAUUUUUUAUGAUAAGUAACAUCAAAAUACAAGGAACUAACUCUGGUUAACCCUAUUGCAUCAAGUAAACAAAGUAAAAAAGCACUUUCAGAUGACAUUCCGAAAGUGUACCAGUAUCCAGAUAGCUCAUUUUGGAUAUUUUUUUGUACAGAGUUUUAUAGCAGUUUUCUGUUAAUGAAAUAUUGACAAAAGACCUAAUCAAUGUAAAAUGAAUUUUGUUAAAUAUUAGUUUACAAUGUGACCUGAAACAGACCUUUUCAUUAUGUUGUAACAUGUUGCAUGGUAUCAAGCUUGUAUACAUAUAUUAAGGCGUCCACUAUUUCAAGUUGACAUCCUUGGUGACAUUUUUAAGAAAAAGGCUUGAAUGUUAUGACCAGAAGUACAAAGUAAUGUAAAACCCCAUUUGAAAACUCUGUUACUGGUUUUUGGAAGAUAUCAUUUACCACUUUAUUCUUUGAUAAGUGUGCAAUAAUCAUAAGUGUUAUGAAUACAUUACUUUAAACAUCUGGGAACGCAAUUAUGGUAACUUUCCUGUUAAAAACAGCACUCUGCUCCUUUUUUGGCAGCCCUAUGCCCCUUUUUGACAGCACCCUGCCCUUUUUGAGCUCUAGAAAUAACACUAAGUAAUGUUUAAAAAAUUACAUUAACUUGAUACAAUCUUAAAGUUAACAUUGUUUUGCACUGUGUUGCAACUUUUACCGUGUAAUUUAAAAAAAAAAAAUUAUAUAAUUUAUGGUAUUUCCUCAAGCUCAAAUAGGGACAGAUUUCAAAGUCAUAACCACUGUACAUAAUUAUUGCAGAGAAUUCAUUACACCAAUAACUUUGAUAAAAGAAACCUAGCUACUAGAAGUAUUGGUAAACAAUUAUAAAAUGCAUAUACAAAUGCAUAUAUAAUUAUAAAACUUUCGAGAAUAUUUUUUUUUUAGGGAGCCUUAAGUAAAAGGUUUUAAUCAGACAGAACUUAGCUCCAACACUGAAAUUUACGGCUGAGGCCUAUGAGACUGUUUUAAAUUUUGCUUUCUACAUUCAAAAAUAACCAUGUGGCAGAAGUAAAGCCUACCUACAUUUCUUCCACAAUAUGUAAACUAAAGAGUAAAUGAGUAAAAGCAAAAUAAAGAACUUUUUACUGCAUAUUACUUAGUAUUUUCAAAGAUGUCUAACCCUGCACCCUUCCAUAUCAGAAGUGAGAUUCACUUUAAACAGCAAGAAAUUGCUUAUCAAAUGAAAAAUUUCCACUUUUGUACAAUCAGUAAUAAAUCUUGAAAAAAAGUUUAACUUAGUAGAAAAAAAAAAGAAAAAGAAAAAAAGUUUGGUCCUAGUGCGGCUUAAACCUACACCCUCCUGAAAAAUUAAAGUAGGUUUAUGGUAGGAAUUAGAUACUCUUUAAAAGGAGGUACACUAUUAUAGGUCCAUUAUUUUAAGUUUUUUUGAAAGACAAAACAAAUUUUACAAUUGAAGAGAGGUAACUCAAUUUUUAAAAAGAACACUUAAAAGCCCUUAGUGAAUGGAAUUUUAAAUUGAGGAAUUAGUUUCAAGCAAGGCUAAAGUGACGUAAAAUUUUAAGAUAAAAAAAUUUAAGGUCAUAUUUCUUGUUCAGUCUAAAUAUUUUAUUUACACAUGCAUGGAUUCACUUUUAACAAACUUUGCAUAAAAUUUAACUAUAAUAAGAAAAUAUUUUGACCCUAAUUUUAAGGUACAUGUACAAGAUUUAAGGUAAUUAUUAAAUUGUUCAGUGGCUCCUUAUAAAUAAUUAUGUGCAUCUAAUAUUUCUGUGUUGUUUUUUUUUAUUUUGAAAAAUCUCUCUUUUUGUAGUGUGAAGCAACAGUCGAGCAGAAUGGUUACAGACUAUUAAUUCAGAACUGAAGAGAUGCAGGUCUCUGUUCAACAUGCUGUAUGAGGGAACUAUUGUGGAAUUUUGGAUUUCAUGGCAGUCAUAGAAAUAUUUAAUAAAUAACCAGAUAAUUUAUAUUAAGAAUCAUUUACCACUUACAAGCUGCAUUUAGAGUUACAGAAUAGCUGAACAGAUACUAUCAGUUAAAAACAAACAAACUCAUCUUUCAUUCAUAAAACAAAUUUUACAGUUCAAGGGAGCCAACUCAAAUUUUAAAAAACAACACUAAAAUGCCAUUGCUUUCACAGAAAUUGUCACAUUUCAGAAUGUAAUCAGUUUUAUAGUUUUGGAUUGAGUAUGAAUUACAUUGGCAUUUUAGAAUAGAUAGAUGCUUCAGUAAUUUCUAUAAAUGCAACAUUGUAUUUUCAUCACCAAUUAACUGCUACCAUACCAUAUAUUUAUUCAGGUCUAUAGGACUGUGAUGUGUGUACCAGUCUAUCAGGCUAUCCCAUUCUUUCCAGUCAACAAAUUGGCAAUGGCUACAUGGAUUCUCGAGUAACUUGGCAUUACUUUUCACAGUAAUAAAGACAGAUUCCAAAAGCUUUUAGAGAAAUAUAUGAGGCAAAGCUAUCAGCAGUAUGCCAGAGACACAUCAAGAAGUUCACAUUGUUUUGCACAGAUUUGUGUUCCACAUGUAUGGCCUUAGUGGAAUUGUCAUAGUAUAAGCUGCCGAAUGUGCGAAAAAUUUUGACACCUUGAGUUUGCCAGAAGCAACAAAGAGUAAAUUAAUACGCAAGGACCAGGUUUCGUGCUGGAGCAAUCAAGUUAAUGAUGCUUGGCUCUGCUAUGAUAGCCAUACAGAUUUGAAGAAGCAACUUGAUUGAAAGUUUUACCUGUUGUGUAGACAGGAUAAGCUAGCUUGGUGAAAGGCAAAGAAGGAAAAUGACCUUAGAAAAGACAAGAUACAACAGGUUCAAGAUCUAAAGGACCGGAAUGUCUGUCAUUCAGGUUAACAUCAGAGUUGGACAGCUUCUUGUAACAGAAUAAAACAUAACAGAGUUCAAGGGGCCUGUACAGCUUGUUUGUGAGGAGAUCAGGGUUAUUUUAGAUACCAUCUGAGUCAGAGUGUGCAUAUUGUUCUGCCAAGGUCUGAUUCCUAGACUAGGGUCUGAGUGGUGUGGUAUUUGUUUCAGAACCAUCCACAUCACAGAAUCUCUCACACUAGUGUUCCAGUUACACAAGCAUGAAGAAACAGGGAUUGAUCUGGUCAUAUGCUGGUAUCUGUAUUUGGAAUGGAUGAUACCCCUGUGCCAUACACACUGGAGAUACAUGUUGAUAUAAAAAAAACGUAUUUUCAGCUACAAAAAAUCUGUAGAUUUUAAAGAUAUUUUGCUGCAUUAAUGACACACAAAAAUACUUCAGAAUGGAAAGAAAAAAUGUUAGGGUCACCAUGCAGCUAAGAGAUAUAUUUAGAAAAAAAUUUAAAAACUG
Mercenaria mercenaria is the source of this 5087-nucleotide long non-coding RNA. RefSeq lists it as uncharacterized. The record is from RefSeq and is a predicted model, not a curated record. The transcript is spliced from 11 exons. NCBI's taxonomy places the organism in Eukaryota, Metazoa, Mollusca, Bivalvia, Venerida, Veneridae.